RNAcentral lists this ribosomal RNA (497 nucleotides) under uncultured bacterium. RNAcentral's name for it is "partial 16S ribosomal RNA". It matches the Rfam family "Bacterial small subunit ribosomal RNA", at positions 28 to 507 of the family's 1533-position model. The record is from RNAcentral.
GAUGAACGCUGGCGGCGUGCCUAAUACAUGCAAGUCGAGCGAACAGACGAGGAGCUUGCUCCUCUGACGUUAGCGGCGGACGGGUGAGUAACACGUGGAUAACCUACCUAUAAGACUGGGAUAACUUCGGGAAACCGGAGCUAAUACCGGAUAAUAUAUUGAACCGCAUGGUUCAAUAGUGAAAGACGGUUUUGCUGUCACUUAUAGAUGGAUCCGCGCCGCAUUAGCUAGUUGGUAAGGUAACGGCUUACCAAGGCAACGAUGCGUAGCCGACCUGAGAGGGUGAUCGGCCACACUGGAACUGAGACACGGUCCAGACUCCUACGGGAGGCAGCAGUAGGGAAUCUUCCGCAAUGGGCGAAAGCUUGGCGGAACAACGCCGCGUGAGUGAUGAAGGUCUUCGGAUCGUAAAACUCUGUUAUUAGGGAAGAACAAAUGUGUAAGUAACUAUGCGCGUCUUGACGGUACCUAAUCAGAAAGCCACGGCUAACUACGUG